AUUGAACGCUGGCGGAAUGCUUUACACAUGCAAGUCGAACGGCAGCACGGACUUCGGUCUGGUGGCGAGUGGCGAACGGGUGAGUAACGUAUCGGAACGUGCCCAGUCGUGGGGGAUAACGUAGUGAAAAUUACGCUAAUACCGCAUACGACCUAUGGAUGAAAGCGGGGGAUCGCAAGACCUCGCGCGCUGGGAGCGGCCGGUAUCAGACUAGGUAGUUGGUGGGGUAAAGGUCCACCAAGCCAACGAUCUGAAGCUGGUCUGAGAGACCGACCGGCCACACUGGAACUGGGACACGGUCCAGAAUCCUACGGGAGGCAGCGGUGGGGAAUUUUGGACAAUGGGCGAAAGCCUGAUCCAGCCAUUCCGCGUGCAGGAUGAAGGCCCUCGGGUUGUAAACUGCUUUUGUACAGAACGAAAAGGUUUCUACUAAUACUAGGAGCUCAUGACGGUACUGUAAGAAUAAGCACCGGCUAACUACGUGCCAGCCGCCGCCGUAA
This 500-nucleotide ribosomal RNA is filed under the name uncultured bacterium. RNAcentral's name for it is "partial 16S ribosomal RNA". It matches the Rfam family "Bacterial small subunit ribosomal RNA", at positions 30 to 523 of the family's 1533-position model. The record is from RNAcentral.